GUGCCAGCAGCCGCGGUAAUACGUAGGGUGCGAGCGUUAAUCGGAAUUACUGGGCGUAAAGCGUGCGCAGGCGGUCAUGCAAGACAGAUGUGAAAUCCCUGGGCUCAACCUGGGAACUGCAUAUGUGACUGUAUGGCUGGAGUACGGCAGAGGGGGAUGGAAUUCCGCGUGUAGCAGUGAAAUGCGUAGAUAUGCGGAGGAACACCGAUGGCGAAGGCAAUCCCCUGGGCCUGUACUGACGCUCAAGCACGAAAGCGUGGGGAGCAAACAGGAUUAGAUACCCUGGUAGUCC
Molecule: ribosomal RNA, 292 nt
Filed under: uncultured bacterium
Lineage: Bacteria
Description: partial 16S ribosomal RNA
Rfam family: Bacterial small subunit ribosomal RNA
Source: RNAcentral